RNAcentral lists this ribosomal RNA (290 nucleotides) under uncultured bacterium. RNAcentral's name for it is "partial 16S ribosomal RNA". It matches the Rfam family "Bacterial small subunit ribosomal RNA", at positions 506 to 796 of the family's 1533-position model. The record is from RNAcentral.
UGCCAGCAGCCGCGGUAAUACGUAGGGGGCAAGCGUUAUCCGGAAUCACUGGGCGUAAAGGGUGCGUAGGCGGUUUCUCAAGCCAGAAGUGAAAGGCAAUGGCUCAACCAUUGUAAGCUUUUGGAACUGAGAGACUUGAGUGCAGGAGAGGAAAGUGGAAUUCCUAGUGUAGAGGUGAAAUUCGUAGAUAUUAGGAGGAACACCAGUGGCGAAGGCGACUUUCUGGACUGUAACUGACGCUGAGGCACGAAAGUGUGGGGAGCGAACAGGAUUAGAAACCCCCGUAGUCC